Molecule: ribosomal RNA, 465 nt
Filed under: Vreelandella stevensii
Lineage: Bacteria; Pseudomonadati; Pseudomonadota; Gammaproteobacteria; Oceanospirillales; Halomonadaceae
Description: partial 16S ribosomal RNA
Rfam family: Bacterial small subunit ribosomal RNA
Source: RNAcentral
CCUACGGGAGGCAGCAGUGGGGAAUAUUGGACAAUGGGGGGAACCCUGAUCCAGCCAUGCCGCGUGUGUGAAGAAGGCCCUCGGGUUGUAAAGCACUUUCAGUGAGGAAGAACGCCUGGUGGUUAAUACCCAUCAGGAAAGACAUCACUCACAGAAGAAGCACCGGCUAACUCCGUGCCAGCAGCCGCGGUAAUACGGAGGGUGCGAGCGUUAAUCGGAAUUACUGGGCGUAAAGCGCGCGUAGGUGGCUUGAUAAGCCGGUUGUGAAAGCCCCGGGCUCAACCUGGGAACGGCAUCUGGAACUGUCAAGCUAGAGUGCAGGAGAGGAAGGUAGAAUUCCCGGUGUAGCGGUGAAAUGCGUAGAGAUCGGGAGGAAUACCAGUGGCGAAGGCGGCCUUCUGGACUGACACUGACACUGAGGUGCGAAAGCGUGGGUAGCAAACAGGAUUAGAUACCCGAGUAGUC